This is a non-coding RNA of Podarcis lilfordi (Lilford's wall lizard), 76 nucleotides long. The record is from the annotation of a GenBank genome assembly. NCBI's taxonomy places the organism in Eukaryota, Metazoa, Chordata, Lepidosauria, Squamata, Lacertidae.
GCGGUAGGUAGCUCAAUGGCAGAGCAUCUGCUUUGCAUGCAGAAGGUCCCAGGUUCAAUCCCCGACGUCUCCAGCA